RNAcentral lists this ribosomal RNA (1090 nucleotides) under Dothideomycetes sp. B1b085-2-P302. Its description in RNAcentral is "eukaryotic LSU rRNA". The stretch from base 506 to 1090 matches the Rfam family "Eukaryotic large subunit ribosomal RNA", at positions 1 to 588 of the family's 3401-position model. The record is from RNAcentral. Lineage: Eukaryota; Fungi; Ascomycota; Dothideomycetes.
CCGAUUUAUCGGCGUGGUCGCGGCCCCCGGGGGAUAACCUGGGUGGUAGAGGUAACACUCUCACGCGCCACAUGCCCGAAUCCUUUUUUUACGAGCACCUUUUGUUCUCCUUCGGCGGGGCAACCUGCCGCUGGAAUCCAUCAAAACCUUUUUUGCAUUUAGCAUUACCUGUUCUGAUACAAACAAUCGUUACAACUUUCAACAAUGGAUCUCUUGGCUCUGGCAUCGAUGAAGAACGCAGCGAAAUGCGAUAAGUAGUGUGAAUUGCAGAAUUCAGUGAAUCAUCGAAUCUUUGAACGCACAUUGCGCCCCUUGGUAUUCCAUGGGGCAUGCCUGUUCGAGCGUCAUCUACACCCUCAAGCUCUGCUUGGUGUUGGGCGUCUGUCCCGCCUCUGCGCGCGGACUCGCCCCAAAUGCAUUGGCAGCGGUCCUUGCCUCCUCUCGCGCAGCACAUUGCGCUUCUCGAGGUGUGCGGGCCGCGUCCACGAAGCAACAUUACCGUCUUUGACCUCGGAUCAGGUAGGGAUACCCGCUGAACUUAAGCAUAUCAAUAAGCGGAGGAAAAGAAACCAACAGGGAUUGCCCUAGUAACGGCGAGUGAAGCGGCAACAGCUCAAAUUUGAAAUCUGGCUCUCUUUGGGGGUCCGAGUUGUAAUUUGCAGAGGAUGCUUUGGCAUUGGCGGCGGUCUAAGUUCCUUGGAACAGGACAUCGCAGAGGGUGAGAAUCCCGUACGUGGGCGCCUGCCUUUGCCGUGUAAAGCUCCUUCGACGAGUCGAGUUGUUUGGGAAUGCAGCUCUAAAUGGGAGGUAAAUUUCUUCUAAAGCUAAAUACCGGCCAGAGACCGAUAGCGCACAAGUAGAGUGAUCGAAAGAUGAAAAGUACUUUGGAAAGAGAGUCAAAAAGCACGUGAAAUUGUUGAAAGGGAAGCGCUUGCAGCCAGACUUGCCCGCAGUUGCUCACCUAGGCUUUGGCCUGGGGCACUCUUCUGCGGGCAGGCCAGCAUCAGUUUGGGCGGUUGGAUAAAGGCCUCUUUCACGUAUCUCCCUUCGGGGUGACCUUAUAGAGGAGGCGUAAUGCGACCAGCCCGGA